This 504-nucleotide ribosomal RNA is filed under the name uncultured bacterium. RNAcentral describes it as "bacterial SSU rRNA". It matches the Rfam family "Bacterial small subunit ribosomal RNA", at positions 16 to 507 of the family's 1533-position model. The record is from RNAcentral.
AUCCUGGCUCAGGAUGAACGCUAGCGGCAGGCUUAACACAUGCAAGUCGAGGGGCAGCAUGAGACGGAGAUUCGUCGAAGUCUUGAUGGCGACCGGCGCAAGGGUGCGUAACGCGUGAGCAACUUGCCCGUUUCUGGGGAAUAACCGUUGGAAACGACGACUAAUACCCCAUAGUAUCCGAUUGAGGCAUCUCUUUGGGAUUAAAGAAAUUCGGAAACGGAUAGGCUCGCGUGACAUUAGCUAGACGGCGGGGUAACGGCCCACCGUGGCAACGAUGUCUAGGGGUUCUGAGAGGAAGGUCCCCCACACUGGAACUGAGACACGGUCCAGACUCCUACGGGAGGCAGCAGUGAGGAAUAUUGGUCAAUGGUCGAGAGGCUGAACCAGCCAUGCCGCGUGAAGGUGACGGCCCUAUGGGUCUUAAACUUCUUUUGUAAGGGAGCAAUAAGGGUCACGUGUGGUCUGAUGAGAGUACCUUACGAAUAAGCAUCGGCUAACUCCGUG